GCCGUAGCUCAAGGGUAGAGCAUCUGCUUUGCACCGGAAAGGCCCCAGGUUCAAGCCCUGGUGUCUCCA
Molecule: non-coding RNA, 69 nt
Organism: Podarcis lilfordi (Lilford's wall lizard)
Lineage: Eukaryota; Metazoa; Chordata; Lepidosauria; Squamata; Lacertidae
Source: the annotation of a GenBank genome assembly